Molecule: ribosomal RNA, 492 nt
Filed under: uncultured bacterium
Lineage: Bacteria
Description: partial 16S ribosomal RNA
Rfam family: Bacterial small subunit ribosomal RNA
Source: RNAcentral
AGUGAACGCUGGCGGUAGGCCUAACACAUGCAAGUCGAACGGCAGCACAGUAAGAGCUUGCUCUUACGGGUGGCGAGUGGCGGACGGGUGAGGAAUGCAUCGGAAUCUACUUUUUCGUGGGGGAUAACGUAGGGAAACUUACGCUAAUACCGCAUACGACCUACGGGUGAAAGCAGGGGAUCUUCGGACCUUGCACGAUUGAAUGAGCCGAUGUCGGAUUAGCUAGUUGGCGGGGUAAAGGCCCACCAAGGCGACGAUCCGUAGCUGGUCUGAGAGGAUGAUCAGCCACACUGGAACUGAGACACGGUCCAGACUCCUACGGGAGGCAGCAGUGGGGAAUAUUGGACAAUGGGCGCAAGCCUGAUCCAGCCAUACCGCGUGGGUGAAGAAGGCCUUCGGGUUGUAAAGCCCUUUUGUUGGGAAAGAAAAGCAGCAGGUUAAUACCCCGCUGUUCUGACGGUACCCAAAGAAUAAGCACCGGCUAACUUCGUG